Molecule: unclassified non-coding RNA, 909 nt
Filed under: Hevea brasiliensis (rubber tree)
Lineage: Eukaryota; Viridiplantae; Streptophyta; Magnoliopsida; Malpighiales; Euphorbiaceae
Source: RNAcentral
UGGUUCUGUUGCCUCCUACUACUGGGCUCGUGGUGAGACAUCGCCUGAGAUUCCCUUUCUUCCAGUUUUUUCCUCUAUGAAGCGGCUUAUGCGGUACAGCCUUGGGUCUGUUGCUCUUGGCUCCCUGAUCGUGUCAUUUGUGGAAUCAGUUCGCUUUAUGCUCGAGUCAAUCCGUCGCAAACUGAAAGUUGCUGGAACUAUACCUGAUGGCUGUAUGGGAAAGACAGUACAUCAUACUUCUCAGUUUUGUCUGAGAUGUGUUGAGGGGACUAUAAAAUCUGUGAACCGCAAUGCUUACAUAAUGAUAGCUAUAACAGGUAAAAGCUUCUGUAGGGCAUCUGCAAUUGCAGCUGACUUGAUCAUGAACAACAUUCUUAGGAUUGGAAAGGUGAAUGUGAUUGGAGAUGUCAUCCUAUUUCUGGGAAAAUUAUGUGUCAGCCUCUCAAGUGCUGUUUUUGCUUUCCUCAUGCUGGAUACUCACAAAUAUAGAUCUGCUCAUAACAAGAUAUCCUCCCCACUGUUUCCUGUGCUGGUUUGCUGGGCUCUAGGUUAUAUCGUUGCGACCCUUUUCUUUGCUGUGGUGGAGAUGUCAAUUGAUACAAUCAUUCUUUCAUUCUGCCAGGAUUCUGAGGAGCACCAAGGGACUGCCCAGUAUGCUCCUCCUCUUCUCAUUGAGACCCUCAAUGAUCAAAAUGAGAUGCAGAGACUUACCCAAUGAUCCUACCGAAAAAUGCCAAUGUAUAAGUUGCUCGAGUCGCAUUUGCUUAGUGGAAUUUGAAAAUUCAAUUAUAUUACUUAGAGCACUCCCCCCUGAUCAUUUGAUCUUUGACUUUUUUAAAUUCGUUUUUCCAAUUUUCCUGGUUGCCUUAGCUAGUUGGUCUGAAACUGUAUAUUUGGGCUGUGCCUGUA